RNAcentral lists this ribosomal RNA (388 nucleotides) under uncultured bacterium. RNAcentral's name for it is "bacterial SSU rRNA". It matches the Rfam family "Bacterial small subunit ribosomal RNA", at positions 29 to 408 of the family's 1533-position model. The record is from RNAcentral.
AAUGAACGCUGGCGGCGCGCCUAAUACAUGCAAGUCGAGCGAGAAGACGUAGCAAUACGUUUGUAAAGCGGCGAACGGGUGAGGAAUACAUGGGUAACCUACCCUCGAGUGGGGAAUAACUAGCCGAAAGGUUAGCUAAUACCGCGUACGCUUCUUGGACUUCGGUUCAGGGAGGAAAGCGAUACCGUGGGUAUCGCGCUCUUGGAUGGGCUCAUGUCCUAUCAGCUUGUUGGGAGGUAACGGCUCACCAAGGCUUUGACGGGUAGCUGGUCUGAGAGGACGAUCAGCCACACUGGCACUGCGACACGGGCCAGACUCCUACGGGAGGCAGCAGUAAGGAAUAUUGCGCAAUGGGCGAAAGCCUGACGCAGCGACGCCGCGUGGGGGA